RNAcentral lists this ribosomal RNA (422 nucleotides) under uncultured Flavisolibacter sp. Its description in RNAcentral is "bacterial SSU rRNA". It matches the Rfam family "Bacterial small subunit ribosomal RNA", at positions 355 to 774 of the family's 1533-position model. Lineage: Bacteria; Pseudomonadati; Bacteroidota; Chitinophagia; Chitinophagales; Chitinophagaceae. The record is from RNAcentral.
UAAGGAAUAUUGGUCAAUGGACGCAAGUCUGAACCAGCCAUGCCGCGUGAAGGAUGAAGGUCCUCUGGAUUGUAAACUUCUUUUACAGGGGAAGAAAUCGGGAAAUUCUUUUUCCGUUGACGGUACCCUGGGAAUAAGCACCGGCUAACUCCGUGCCAGCAGCCGCGGUAAUACGGAGGGUGCAAGCGUUAUCCGGAUUCACUGGGUUUAAAGGGUGCGUAGGAGGGCAGGUAAGUCCGUGGUGAAAUCUCCGAGCUUAACUCGGAAACUGCCGUGGAUACUACCGGUCUUGAAUAUCGUGGAGGUGAGCGGAAUAUGUCAUGUAGCGGUGAAAUGCUUAGAGAUGACAUAGAACACCCAUUGCGAAGGCAGCUCACUACCCGAAUAUUGACUCUGAGGCACGAAAGCGUGGGGAUCAAACA